GACGUAGGGGGCGAGCGUUGUCCGGAUUCACUGGGCGUAAAGGGCGCGUAGGCGGUUACGCAAGUCGGAUGUGAAAAGUCACGGCUCAACUGUGAUCGUGCAUCCGAUACUGCGUUGACUUGAGGUCGGUAGAGGCAAGUGGAACUAGCGGUGUAGCGGUGAAAUGCGCAGAUAUCGCUAGGAACGCCGGUGGCGAAGGCGAUUUGCUGGGCCGUACCUGACGCUGAUGCGCGAAAGCUAGGGGAGCGAACCGG
Molecule: ribosomal RNA, 254 nt
Filed under: uncultured bacterium
Lineage: Bacteria
Description: partial 16S ribosomal RNA
Rfam family: Bacterial small subunit ribosomal RNA
Source: RNAcentral